CUACGGGGCGCUGCAGUGGGGAAUCUUGGACAAUGGGCGCAAGCCUGAUCCAGCCAUGCCGCGUGAGUGAUGAAGGCCUUAGGGUCGUAAAGCUCUUUCGCCAGGGAUGAUAAUGACAGUACCUGGUAAAGAAACCCCGGCUAACUCCGUGCCAGCAGCCGCGGUAAUACGGAGGGGGUUAGCGUUGUUCGGAAUUACUGGGCGUAAAGCGCGCGUAGGCGGAUCAGAAAGUUGGGGGUGAAAUCCCGGGGCUCAACCCCGGAACGGCCUCCAAAACUCCUGGUCUUGAGUUCGAGAGAGGUGAGUGGAAUUCCGAGUGUAGAGGUGAAAUUCGUAGAUAUUCGGAGGAACACCAGUGGCGAAGGCGGCUCACUGGCUCGAUACUGACGCUGAGGUGCGAAAGUGUGGGGAGCAAACAGGAUUAGAUACCCGCGUAGUC
Molecule: ribosomal RNA, 439 nt
Filed under: uncultured bacterium
Lineage: Bacteria
Description: partial 16S ribosomal RNA
Rfam family: Bacterial small subunit ribosomal RNA
Source: RNAcentral